CAGCAAACAACUACACUGGCUGAUCAAAAGGGAAGUGACAUCAGAGAACAAAGAGUCAACAGGACAAAGGACCUUAUGAAUGUGCUUUCUAUUGUUCUUCCCCUUAUAAAAAUGUAGGUAUUGUGUGCAAAAAGGAUCCAUAUUGAAGAAAAAGGAACUAUGGGUGGAGGACGUUACACUUUUCAGGUGCAAGAGGAACAGUAGAAAGAGAGCCUGCCAUAUGGAGAAUAAAAUAGCAGUUGACUCUUCCCAUCCACUCCACCCUGAAUUCCAGCUCCUUCCGUCUGGCCACAGUCUGGCCCAGGGGUGCGAACGUGAAUGGCAAGGCACUGAAGUGACGAACCACCCUUGCUGUCUCUGUCUGACCACCUCCCCUCUCUCCACUGGACCAUGACUCAGGACUACCUGGCUUGACGACUCCUGGCUGUUCCUGUCCCCAGUCCACCUGGUCGUGCUGCUGAUCCAGUUUCUUCUGUUCUGCCUGCGGCUAUGGAACCCUGACCUGUUCACCGGAUCUGCUACCUUGUCCAGGACAUGCUGUUUCAAGCCUCCCCACAUGAAAAAAAAAUAAAUUUUAUACUAUGGCAUAAAUACUAUAGUAUUUAUGGGAACACAGGCCUCCCAUGUGGUGCAGUGGUCUAAGGCACUGCAUCGCAGUGCUAGCUGUGCCGCUAGAGAUCCUGGUUCGAGUCCAGGCUCUGUCGUGACCGGGAGACCCAUGGGGUGGCGCACAAUUGUCCCAGCGUUGUCUGGGUUAGGGGAAGGUUUGGCUGGCAGGGAUCUUCUUGUCCCAUCAUGCACUAGCGACUCCUGUGACAGGCCGGGCAUAAUAUAUGCUGACACAGUCGCCAGGUGUACGGUGGUUCCUCCGACACAUUGGUGCGGCUGGCUUCUUGGUUAAACUGUCAUGUUUCUGCGGACUGUAGUGUUUUUGUGGACAUUACUGUAGUAUUUCAUAAUUUUUUGGGAUAAUACUGUAAUAUUUACUAUCGAAGAUAUGGGCAACUUUGAUUGGCGUGGGGGUCACAGAAAAUCUGAACUCAUCAUGAGGGGCCACAGUGGAUCAUAGAUCUGUGUACCCACAUCCAGUCAAACCCUCCCUCUUGACAGUGGAGAGAAAAAUAUGUAGAUUUAGAGUUCAUUUCCUGGAAUUCUAUACAUUUUGCCACAGGGUGGAGAGAAAUGUUUGCCAUGACAGUGACUAACAAAAUCAAUUGGGGCCCGCGGUCGGUAAUUCAACC
This 1241-nucleotide long non-coding RNA is filed under the name Salmo salar (Atlantic salmon). Its description in RNAcentral is "lncRNA (ENSSSAG00000116143.1)". Lineage: Eukaryota; Metazoa; Chordata; Actinopteri; Salmoniformes; Salmonidae. The record is from RNAcentral.